Molecule: ribosomal RNA, 931 nt
Filed under: uncultured bacterium
Lineage: Bacteria
Description: bacterial SSU rRNA
Rfam family: Bacterial small subunit ribosomal RNA
Source: RNAcentral
CCUUAGAGUUUGAUCCUGGCUCAGGAUGAACGCUAGCUACAGGCUUAACACAUGCAAGUCGAGGGGCAGCAUGUCGGUUGCUUGCAACCGAUGAUGGCGACCGGCGCACGGGUGAGUAACGCGUAUCCAACCUACCCUUGUCCAUCGGAUAACCCGUCGAAAGGCGGCCUAACACGAUAUGCGGUUCACCGCAGGCAUCUAACGUGAACGAAAUGUGAAGGAGAAGGAUGGGGAUGCGUCUGAUUAGCUUGUUGGCGGGGUAACGGCCCACCAAGGCGACGAUCAGUAGGGGUUCUGAGAGGAAGGUCCCCCACAUUGGAACUGAGACACGGUCCAAACUCCUACGGGAGGCAGCAGUGAGGAAUAUUGGUCAAUGGGCGAGAGCCUGAACCAGCCAAGUAGCGUGCAGGAUGACGGCCCUAUGGGUUGUAAACUGCUUUUAUAAGGGAAUAAAGUGAGUCUCGUGAGACUUUUUGCAUGUACCUUAUGAAUAAGGACCGGCUAAUUCCGUGCCAGCAGCCGCGGUAAUACGGAAGGUCCGGGCGUUAUCCGGAUUUAUUGGGUUUAAAGGGAGCGUAGGCCGGAGAUUAAGCGUGUUGUGAAAUGUAGACGCUCAACGUCUGCACUGCAGCGCGAACUGGUUUCCUUGAGUACGCACAAAGUGGGCGGAAUUCGUGGUGUAGCGGUGAAAUGCUUAGAUAUCACGAAGAACUCCGAUUGCGAAGGCAGCUCACUGGAGCGCAACUGACGCUGAAGCUCGAAAGUGCGGGUAUCGAACAGGAUUAGAUACCCUGGUAGUCCGCACGGUAAACGAUGGAUGCCCGCUGUUGGUCUGAAUAGGUCAGCGGCCAAGCGAAAGCAUUAAGCAUCCCACCUGGGGAGUACGCCGGCAACGGUGAAACUCAAAGGAAUUGACGAAGGGCGAAUUCCA